Molecule: ribosomal RNA, 253 nt
Filed under: uncultured bacterium
Lineage: Bacteria
Description: partial 16S ribosomal RNA
Rfam family: Bacterial small subunit ribosomal RNA
Source: RNAcentral
UACGUAGGGGGCAAGCGUUAUCCGGAAUUGCUGGGUGUAAAGGGUGAGUAGGCGGCAUGGUAAGCCAGAUGUGAAAGCCUUGGGCUUAACCCGAGGAUUGCAUUUGGAACUAUCAAGCUAGAGUACAGGAGAGGAAAGCGGAAUUCCUAGUGUAGCGGUGAAAUGCGUAGAUAUUAGGAAGAACACCAGUGGCGAAGGCGGCUUUCUGGACUGAAACUGACGCUGAGGCACGAAAGCGUGGGGAGCGAACAGG